Molecule: ribosomal RNA, 49 nt
Filed under: Pleurotus agaves
Lineage: Eukaryota; Fungi; Basidiomycota; Agaricomycetes; Agaricales; Pleurotaceae
Description: partial 28S ribosomal RNA
Source: RNAcentral
UUUGACUCAAAUCAGGUAGGACUACCCGCUGAACUUAAGCAUAUCAAAG